CGGGACGGGUGAGUAACGCGUGGGCAACCUGCCCUGUACUGGGGGAUAACACCUGGAAACAGGUGCUAAUACCGCAUAAGCGCGCUGUGCCGCAUGGCGCGGCGCGGAAAACCCCGGUGGUACAGGAUGGGCCCGCGUCUGAUUAGCUGGUUGGCAGGGUAACGGCCUACCAAGGCGACGAUCAGUAGCCGGCCUGAGAGGGUGGACGGCCACACUGGGACUGAGACACGGCCCAGACUCCUACGGAAGGCAGCAG
RNAcentral lists this ribosomal RNA (256 nucleotides) under uncultured bacterium. RNAcentral describes it as "partial 16S ribosomal RNA". It matches the Rfam family "Bacterial small subunit ribosomal RNA", at positions 98 to 354 of the family's 1533-position model. The record is from RNAcentral.